RNAcentral lists this unclassified non-coding RNA (252 nucleotides) under Hevea brasiliensis (rubber tree). The record is from RNAcentral. Lineage: Eukaryota; Viridiplantae; Streptophyta; Magnoliopsida; Malpighiales; Euphorbiaceae.
CUUACUCAAAUCAAUAUAACCCUUCUCCUUAUCGACCCUGAGGACCAUGACGGGCUCGAUUCGACCGACCCUAAUUAAGCUGCUGACACUACGAAUUCGACGGCGAGAGAGCUCGGAGAAUAGAAUCAUACCCUCAAUGUUGUUGUACUCAAGAAGGGAGACGUAAGCGCCCAUGUCGGCGAUGUUUUUGACCUGGAUCAUGACGGCCAUGUCGACCUCCGGAUAGCGGGAUUCGUACAUGCGGCACUCGAG